UACGAAGGGGGCUAGCGUUGCUUGGAUUGACUGGGCGUAAAGGGCGCGUAGGCGGUUCGUACAGUCAGACGUGAAAUUCCUGGGCUCAACCUGGGGGCUGCGUUUGAUACGUGCGGACUUGAGUGCGGAAGAGGGUCGUGGAAUUCCCAGUGUAGAGGUGAAAUUCGUAGAUAUUGGGAAGAACACCGGUGGCGAAGGCGGCGACCUGGUCCGAUACUGACGCUGAGGCGCGAAAGCGUGGGGAGCAAACAGG
Molecule: ribosomal RNA, 253 nt
Filed under: uncultured bacterium
Lineage: Bacteria
Description: partial 16S ribosomal RNA
Rfam family: Bacterial small subunit ribosomal RNA
Source: RNAcentral